Molecule: ribosomal RNA, 863 nt
Filed under: Microdipoena guttata
Lineage: Eukaryota; Metazoa; Arthropoda; Arachnida; Araneae; Mysmenidae
Description: SSU rRNA
Rfam family: Eukaryotic small subunit ribosomal RNA
Source: RNAcentral
GAAACCGCGAAUGGCUCAUUAUAUCAGCUAUGGUUCCCAAGAUCGUACUUUACUACUUGGAUAACUGUGGUAAUUCUAGAGCUAAUACAUGCAGCAGAGCUCCGACCGCGAGGGACGAGCGCUUUUAUUAGACCAAAAUCAAACGGACCUCGUGUCCGUUAAAUGUGGUGACUCUGUAUAACUUAUCUGAUCGCACGGGCUUGUCCCGGCGACGUAUCUUUCAAGUGUCUGCCUUAUCAACUGUCGAUGGUAGGUUAUGCGCCUACCAUGGUCGUAACGGGUGACGGGGGAUCAGGGUUCGAUCCCGGAGAGGGAGCCUGAGAAACGGCUACCACAUCCAAGGAAGGCAGCAGGCGCGCAAAUUACCCACUCCCGGCACGGGGAGGUAGUGACGAAAAAUAACAAUACAAGACUCUUUUGAGACCUUGUAAUUGGAAUGAGUACACUCUAAGUCCUUUAACGAGGAUCCAUUGGAAGGCAAGUCCGGUGCCAGCAGCUGCGGUAACUCCAGCUCCAAUAGCGUAUAUUAAAGUUGUUGCGGUUAAAAAGCUCGUAGUUGGAUCUCAGUUACGGACGGGUGGUCUACCUACCGGUAGUUACUGCCCGGUCCGAACAAUGCCGUCGGUUUCUCUUGAUGAUCUUCACCGGUUGUCUUGGGAGAUCCGACAAGUUUACUUUGAAAAAAUUAGAGUGCUCAAAGCAUGCGUGAUGCAUGGAUAAUGGUGCAUGGAAUAAUGGAAUAGGACCUCGGUUCUGUUUUGUUGGUUUUCGGAACACGAGGUAAUGAUUAAGAGGGACAGACGGGGGCAUUCGUAUUGCGACGCUAGAGGUGAAAUUCUUGGACCGUCGCAAGACGAACUACU